GAAAAAUUUUCCCUCAGACAAAAUUCCGAAGUGAGACAACUCCGCCGACUGUCGACCGCCGACCGCCAUUCUCGUCCGAUAGCUCCAACCUCCGACACUGUCGGCACUUCCAACCUCUGCCGCCAACACCCCCUCCAUCCUCUGUCGUCGUCGCUCCAACAGCCGCCGCCGUGAAGAAGUGAGUACAGUGGUGUGAAAAUUUUAAGGCGAGCUGCGUAUCGCAUUAUGGGCGUAUGCCUUUCUUUGGCCAAAGAUGCUGCAGAAACACUGAAGCUCAACAUGGCCAUAAUCCUGUUACCAGUCUGCAGGAACACCGUCACCUGGCUCAGGAACAAGACCAAGUUAGGCGUCGCCAUGGUAAUUUAUGCUUGUGAAAGGCUGCUCAGAGCAUUCAGAUCUAGCAUUAAGCCUGUCAAGAUUCUUAAGGUGGCAGUCUAUCUUGGAAAUGUUUUGUCCCUUCAUAUGUCGAAGCCACAGGGGUUCAGAUACAGAAGUGGUCAAUACAUGUUUCUCCCUUUGAAUGGUAAUUGGAAAAGAAAAAAAAAACAUUAUUGUUUUGGUCACUAAUUUCUGUUUUUCCCAUUCAUUAGAGUCGGCAUGUCUCCACUAUUUCUUCCUUGUUCGAAUUUUCCUUACUGUUUUUGAAUUUUGACGGGCAACAAAGCUACGCUUAUUGAGCGUAUCAAGGAGCAUAUUGAUGUUGUCAAUGGUGGUGGAGAGAAGAAGUAUCCUGUAUCUAGUUUUGUAUUGAACUGCAUGCAAAGGUGAUGACUUCUGAUUCUAUCAUCACUUGAUAAAAGCUAUUUCAGUGUUGGUUUGAGACUUAAUUCUAAUUUGUUAUUCUGAGCUCAACUUCCUGAAUUUAUGCAGAGUUCUGUGCUUGCCUUGGAAGAUUCAGCAAUAGAUGCUGAUCAAGUUGAGAACAUCAUUAUGUUUUGCCCAACAAAGGAGGAGAUUGAAAUGCUUAUGGUAUUUGAAGAUGCACCCUACUCCAUUAACGAAAUAGAUGAAGUUCGAGAGUUGUGGACACAUUACUUUAGUAAAGAGUGCGUGUAACU
This is a long non-coding RNA of Ipomoea nil (Japanese morning glory), 1058 nucleotides long. RefSeq lists it as uncharacterized. The transcript has 7 exons. The record is from RefSeq and is a predicted model, not a curated record. Lineage: Eukaryota; Viridiplantae; Streptophyta; Magnoliopsida; Solanales; Convolvulaceae.